CUCAAACUCUUUUUAACACAAAAUCCAUCUGAGUGCAAACUCAACUUCACUACAAACCCUUCUCUUACUGCAAACCGUUCUUCACCGGAAAUGUCUUUGUCAUACACUUCUCACCGCAUGACUCCAAAAUUGACUAAACCCACAAAUAAUUUCCUCCUAUGUAGAAUCCCUUCAUUUCACUUCCUCUUCAAGUUCUCACUACUUCCCCGUUCCUCUCAUUUCCCGACACUCUCUUUCUCUCUCCCAUUCACUAUCUGUGACCAACUCUCUGAUUAGAGCAUCGUCGAUAUGCCCCUCUUCAUCUCGGACGAAGAGUUCUUACUGUUAUCCGGCGACACAAGCGCCAUAACCCUAAAAGCACGAAGGAAUUAAUAUCAACUAAAGAUGAUGAUGCAACCAACAAAGAGAAAUUUUCUGCUGAACUUUCAAUUGUUCAUCCUCGUCAAAUUGAUUCACACUCGCAUGUUGUUAAAGAAAGAUGAUGAAUGAGACUUUAUACAAAUACUCGAUAAAUAUGACUGGUCCAACAAUCCCAUGCAUCUCUUUUUUUUUCAUAAACAACUCUUAUAUAAAGAUUAGGAGUACUAGGGGUACUCCAACCCUAUACAAGAAAAAAAGGAGAACAAAUUAAAGUUACAAUCGUCAUGCACACAAUGGAGGGUUUUUAUACCACUCAUAGAAGUUACAAUUGAUACUUCCUUUUGAAGUUGAAACAAUCCACCACCAAGAAUGCCACUGUAUCUUGUAAAAUACCUCCUCAAGAUCAAACUUUGCAUUGUUGAAGAUUAUGUCAUUUCUCAUCUUCCAAAUACACCAGCAAAUUGUUAACCAUAAAGUUGCAGCCCUGUUACACUUCAGUUUGCCCUUCAAUUGUUCUAUCCAAUUCAUCAAAUUUCCGCAGCAAUCCAAUACGGUUUGCAUCUGAGUAUCAAUCCACAAUAGAAUUCUACUCUUCAAAGAAGCUAAUUUAGAACAGUGCAUGAACACAUGAUCUAAAUCUUCUACCUGCAAUUCACA
Long non-coding RNA from Vicia villosa (hairy vetch), 1017 nucleotides. RefSeq lists it as uncharacterized. The transcript is spliced from 3 exons. The record is from RefSeq and is a predicted model, not a curated record. NCBI's taxonomy places the organism in Eukaryota, Viridiplantae, Streptophyta, Magnoliopsida, Fabales, Fabaceae.